RNAcentral lists this unclassified non-coding RNA (1110 nucleotides) under Sphingomonas sp. VA4. RNAcentral describes it as "partial contains 16S ribosomal RNA, 16S-23S ribosomal RNA intergenic spacer, and 23S ribosomal RNA". The stretch from base 901 to 1110 matches the Rfam family "Bacterial large subunit ribosomal RNA", at positions 1 to 181 of the family's 2925-position model. Lineage: Bacteria; Pseudomonadati; Pseudomonadota; Alphaproteobacteria; Sphingomonadales; Sphingomonadaceae. The record is from RNAcentral.
GUUGCGCUGACCCGAAGGGAGGCAGGCGACCACGGUGGGAUCAGCGACUGGGGUGAAGUCGUAACAAGGUAGCCGUAGGGGAACCUGCGGCUGGAUCACCUCCUUUCUAAGGAUCGGUUCGAAAGCGCUCUGUUUUGGCAGAGAAGAGCUUCGCACUGGUUUUCAGAACAUAAGCCGCCGUCCUCAUGUCCCUUCAUCACUAGGUUAGUUUGCGAGACGAAGCAGCGUCAGCUGGUUCGCACGCAAACAAGCACGGCCAGCGCGGCACAGCGCGCCAUAGGGCGCAGCUUUGCUGCGACUGACGGCGCGAGCCAAGUGCGGGCCGGUAGCUCAGGUGGUUAGAGCGCACGCCUGAUAAGCGUGAGGUCGUAGGUUCAACUCCUACUCGGCCCACCAUCGCAGACGUUGCGCGCCAGUCAGCGCCGCGGGCAAAGCCCGCGUCGUCGAACCUGCUGAAGCAGGUCGGCCGUGCUGGUGAGCGUGCGCGAUAGCUUUGCUAUCGCGUCUCGUCACAGGCGCAUGGGGCCUUAGCUCAGCUGGGAGAGCGGUUGCUUUGCAAGCAUCAGGUCAUCGGUUCGAUCCCGAUAGGCUCCACCAUCUGCCAAAAACCUAGAGAUGAAGACACCGAGAUCCGCUGUGGCGACACAGCGGUGAUGGAGCAUCUGGCUCCUCUUUGACAUUGUGAAUGGGUUCUUAAAAUCGAUGCCGUGAAGGUAUCGGCUUUGAGGGAAGCGAGCGGCCUGCAAGGGCGGCUUUCGCGGAACGCAAGGCUGGUUCAUUUCACUAAAUCUGGCUGAGAUUAUAACAUCCACACCGGAUACUGCCGUAGCGCAUUUGCCGAGUGGUCGGACUGCCUGUUGGUGGUUCGUGCCCAGCGUUGCUGGUGGUGGUGUGGGCUCUCAAGCGUGAGGUAAGGGCAAUUCGUGGAUGCCUUGGCAUGUACAGGCGAAGAAGGACGUGGCACGCUGCGAUAAGCUGCGGUGAGGUGUGAGCAACCUUUGACCCGCAGAUUUCCGAAUGGGGAAACCCACCUAUCCGUUUAAUCCAAGAGGAGCCGAGCGACGACACGUCGUGAAGCGUGCCGCCGAGCGGCUCAGCUAGGGUUAGGCG